This 119-nucleotide ribosomal RNA is filed under the name Pteropus alecto (black flying fox). Lineage: Eukaryota; Metazoa; Chordata; Mammalia; Chiroptera; Pteropodidae. The record is from RNAcentral.
GUCUACAGCUAUGCCACCCUGAAUAACCCUGAUCCCGUCUGAUCUCAGAAGCUAAGCAAGGUCAGGCCUGGUUAGUUCUUGGAUGAGAGAUCACCUAAGAAGACCAGGUGCUGUAGGUG